RNAcentral lists this unclassified non-coding RNA (473 nucleotides) under Hevea brasiliensis (rubber tree). Lineage: Eukaryota; Viridiplantae; Streptophyta; Magnoliopsida; Malpighiales; Euphorbiaceae. The record is from RNAcentral.
AAUUUUUAUUAGCAUUUGUGAGGCGUACAAGUUUCUGUAGUUGCCUAUAGAUGCUUUUUUGUAUGUGUCCAGAGAAGAUGGAGGGGGUUGUUGAGAAUGGUUGAAGCUGGAGAACAGAAUUUAAAGUUAUGUGGUACCGACAUGUGGAAUAAAUUUGAACUUCCUUUAUGAGGCAGUAAGCAUUAGCAAAAAUUCUAUGGGUUGGAAUUAGUCAAUUGGGAAUAGAAUGUUAAUUUUUCGUGUUUUUGACAAAUGCACCUUGAAAUUCAUAAGUUUCUUUUUAUGUCAAUAGGAUUUGAUGAAUGGUGGAAGUCCUUGAAAUAUCUGCACAUUUUCAAUUUUUGCUGACAUGGAAUGUAUUUUAGAUUUCUGUGUUUAAUGUGCCUCUUGUUUUUUGUGUGAUCACAUCGGUUUGUAUACUCACUUAAGGACAUUUGUUUUGGGACCUUAUUGCAUGUGUAAGUUAUCUUUUA